ACUCGAGCCGCGGCGGCUGCGGAGCCGACCCCCCGCCCGCCGUCGCCUCGUCGCCGCCCGCGCCGGGCCCGCGCAGCACGAAGAAGCGCUUGUGGCCGUGCUUCUGCUUGCGCAGGCCAGUUUGAGUAGGACUGUCUGCCACCUGAGCAAGAGAAAUCCCACCUGCCAAGCCUCUUGGCAGAUGGUGGUGCAGCCUCCACAGCCUGGUCUUCAGAUUGUAACUCCGGCCCCUGCUCUGAGCUGGAACCCUCUAGAUCGUUUGCAAAUUCUGCGAGAGCCCAGGUGGAGCUCCUGACACAGUGCACAGAAGCAGCCUGGCACAGUGUGUGAAGAGUCCCCCCCGCCAGCCUCCCAAAGACACCGUCUGCUGUCACUGAGGGCUGGGGCCACAGCCUCUGCAUCUCCCGAGCUCCAAAAGUUCCUGUGGUUCAGCGUUCAUUAUGCUCAGGUGACAAUCUGCUGCUAAGCACAGGACUGAGGCUGCAUAGCCAGGCACUGUUCUAGAGGGAUUU
RNAcentral lists this non-coding RNA (512 nucleotides) under Pongo abelii (Sumatran orangutan). Lineage: Eukaryota; Metazoa; Chordata; Mammalia; Primates; Hominidae. The record is from RNAcentral.